UGCCGUGCGAGGAGAUUAAACACCGACCCGAUCCAAUUUAUAGAGAGAGAAACGAACAAACAAACAGAGACGUAAACGGAUAGUCUUUUAUUUUCCCCCUUCAUUAUCCGAUCUUCCAAUCGAUCCCUUCCCCUUCUCUCUCUCUCUCUCUCUCUCUCUACACCUUCUCUCUCUGUAUCUAUAGAUUUCCCCCAAUAUUUGUCAGCGGUUUUCCGACCAAAACCCUAACACAAUCAUUCCGAUUAAUAUUCUUUCAUUCAAUAAUUUUAUCUCCCUGUUCAAUUACCCCCGAAGAAAAAACUGUUGAUAUCAUCUGUAUAAUACUGUUUUGAUUUUUAGCUAGGUUUUCGGUUUGGUUAUAUAGGGAAGGAGGAAAAAGUUUCCAGCUUUUUGUUUGUUUCCGAUUGAUUCUCGGAAGCGAUUUUGUAAAACAACAAAAAAAAGGAAGUUGGUUUGAUGGUGGAACGGGACGACGUAUUUGAAGCGUUUUUGUUCUGAUUUGGUGAGGGUUUUUUGUUCCACCAGCGAUUUUCUCCAAGUGUUUGGAGGGGAUGGAGACAGCUGUGAGAUGAAAGUUUGUUCAUUUGUGAAUGGUUAGGGCUUUUUAAAGGGAACUAGAACUGGGCUGAUGUUAUGAUCAGUUUUUUUUGCCAGUCAGUUGGGUUUGGAGAAUCAGAGGGUUUUGAUAUUUCUGUGUUCUCUUGUGAGUUGUUGGGAUGAGGAAUGAUGGCCAGAAGCAUCCUGGGCGGGCCAACGGGUUCAUUCCGACGUCGUUUCGUGCCCUUUCGAGCUACCUGAGGAUCGUUUCUUCCGGUGCUUCGAGUGUCGCGAGGUCGGCGGCAUCGGCUGCUUCGGCGAUUGUGGAGAGAGAUAAUGAUAACAGCCACGAUCAGGUGCUCUGGGCUGGGUUUGACAUUUUAGAAUGGGAGGGAGGCGUCACCCGCCGAGUUCUCUUGCUGGGGUAUCGGUCUGGUUUUCAGGUUUGGGAUGUUGAAGAAGCAGAUAAUGUUCGUGUCCUAGUCUCCAGGCAUGAUGGCCCUGUAUCGUUUAUGCAUGUGUUGCCUAAACCCAUAGCAUCAAAGAGAUUUGGGGAUAAAUUUGCAGAUAGCCGUCCUAUGCUGGCCGUUUGUGCGGAUGGAUCCCUUUGUGGAGGUGGUAAUUUUCCGGAUGCUAUAGGCAUGCCAUGUAAUGGAAGCACCCAAAAUUUCCAUGAUCCAGUAAAUGGUGGUUUUACACCAACUGUCAUUCGGUUUUACUCCUUAAGAUCUCAAUCUUAUGUUCAUGUGCUGAAGUUCCGAUCACCCAUUUAUUCGGUUCGGUGCAGCACUAGACUUGUUGCUAUUUCACAAGCAGCGCAGAUACACUGUUUUGAUGCUGCAACCUUAGAAAGGGACUAUACUAUUGUUACCAAUCAGGUAGUUACCGGGUGCUCUGGAUUUGGUGGAAUAGGCUAUGGACCUCUUGCAGUUGGUCCUAGGUGGCUGGCUUACAGUGGCAGUCCAGUUACAGUUUCAAAUUCUGGGCGUGUUACUCCACAACAUCUUACCCCUUCUGCAAGUGUUUCUGGUUCUGCUUCCAAUGGGAGCCUGGUUGUGCACUAUGCAAAAGAAUCGAGCAAGCAACUUGCUGCAGGGAUUGUGACUCUUGGGGACAUGGGAUAUAAGAAGCUGUCUAGGUACUACUCUGAUCUCUUACCUGAGAGCGACAGCUCUGUACAACUUGGGAAUCCUGGCUGGAGGGUUAAUGGGACUAUCAAUGGCCAUUCGCCAGAUGCAGAGAAUGUUGGAAUGGUAAUUGUCAGAGAUAUCGUCAGUAAGUCUGUCAUUGCCCAAUUCAGAGCGCAUAAGAGCCCAAUUUCGUCGUUAUGCUUUGAUCCUAGUGGGACCCUUUUAGUUACAGCUUCAGUUCAGGGUCACAACAUUAAUGUUUUCCGGAUAAUGCCGUUGCAAUCAGGAAGUUCCUCUGGAUCUGAUUCCCGUGCAUCUUACAUACAUCUGUAUAGGUUGCAACGAGGUUUUACAAAUGCAGUUAUACAGGAUAUCAGUUUCAGUGACGACAGUCACUGGAUCAUGAUUAGUUCCUCGAGAGGGACAAGCCAUUUGUUUGCUAUAUCUCCUUCAGGGGGAUUGGUCAAUGUUCAGCCACCUGAUGCUCUUUGUACUAGUAAAAACAAUGGACCAGGUAUUAUGAACAAGCCUGCAGUUCAUUGGGUGCCAAAUUCAGGUUCACACUCGCUUAAUCAACAGUGCCUCUGUGGAUCCGGUUCUCCUGUUACCCUUUCUGUUGUCAGCAGAAUAAGGAGUGGAAGCAAUGGUUGGAAAAGCACUGUAAGUGGUGCUGCAGCAGCUGCCACGGGUAGGAUGAGUUCCCUUCCUGGGGCUAUUGCUUCAGCUUUCCACAAGUGCAAAGGCAAUGAUUUCCAUGCGGGUAACAGCUCUUUGAAGGCAUUGAAUCACCUCUUGGUUUUCUCUCCGUCUGGCAGUCUGAUCCAAUAUGCACUGCAGGCAUCUUCUGGCUUAGAAUCUGCUGCUGUGGUGUCUGGAUUGGGGCCUCGGGACUCUUCUCCUGAGAAUGAUGCAAGGUUAGUAGUUGAGGCAAUCCAGAAGUGGAAUAUUUGUCAGAAACAGAAUCGGAGAGAACGGGAAGAUAAUAGUGACAUUUAUGGUGAAAAUGGGAAUUCGGACAGUAGUAAAAUUUUCCCUGAAAUAACAGAAAAGGAUGGUGUCUAUCCUGAGGUUAGGGGUCCAACCACUAAACCAAAGAAUAUUCCUGAGGAAAGAAAUCAUUUAUUUAUUGCUGAAGCUGAAUUGCAGAUGCAUCAAGCCCGCUUUCCAUUGUGGGCAAAACAUGAGAUAUACUUUCAGUCCAUGACAAUCGAUGGUAUCAAAAUAGAUGGGGAAGCUACUUCUGGAGGGGAAAUUGAGAUCGAGAGGAUUCCCACUCGUAUGAUUGAAGCAAGGUCUAAAGAUCUAGUUCCAAUAUUUGAAUAUCUUCACACUCCCAAAUUCCAGCAGGCGAGUACUCCUGCUUUAAGUAGCAGUAGUAGUAGUAGUAGCCGUCUGCUGCAUCAGAUGUCUGGGCCGUCUGACGAUGGCAGGCUUUCACGCAGAAGCAGCUCCGGCUCUCUUGACUCCAUGAAUGAUAGUAGCAGUGCUGUUGCUGAACUUCACGGCCGCAGUGAAGAAAUUGGUUGGCAAAGCCUUCGUAUACCACCAGAAACAACCAAGAUGUUUGUAAAUAAUGACGACAACCCUAAAUCAAACACUCCGCUUGAGAUUGUACAUAAUAGAGAGAGCUCAAUGAUGGAGGCCCAAGAUAAGUUUGUAAAUAAUAACGUGACAGGUCUGAAAAUGGAGAAUCACUUUGAAGAUGAAGGUGAUGAGUACGACUAAAGUACCUUGCUGUAUUAUUUCCCAAGACUAUGGUAGCUUAUAUGGCAACCCGUGCCAUUAAUCUUGUUACUCUAGACCGUCCUUGUGUGCAGGUAUUAUUUUGUUCUCCUGGUACCUUGUCAGUGUUAAUGUUGUGAGUGGAAGUUUAGAGGAGUGAGGUGCUGCAGCGCACUUGAUGCCGAUGCAGAAUUGUGGAUAGUUUGUUCUUGGAGUUUGUUCUGUUGAAAUUGUAAAUACCAAACAGUACAUCUACAUCUAUAUAUAUCAUAUAAUCAGUGUUCGUAUUAA
This is an RNA transcript of Rhododendron vialii, 3680 nucleotides long. It is a transcript of the gene named autophagy-related protein 18f, with no coding region annotated. NCBI's taxonomy places the organism in Eukaryota, Viridiplantae, Streptophyta, Magnoliopsida, Ericales, Ericaceae. The record is from RefSeq and is a predicted model, not a curated record. The transcript has 9 exons.